This 240-nucleotide unclassified non-coding RNA is filed under the name soil metagenome. Its description in RNAcentral is "partial contains 5.8S ribosomal RNA, internal transcribed spacer 2, and large subunit ribosomal RNA". The record is from RNAcentral.
AACGCACGAGACCUGCGGACCUGCGGAAGGAUCAUUACUGAGUGAGGGCCCCUCGGGGUCCAACCUCCCACCCGUGUUUAACGAACCUUUGUUGCUUCGGCGGGCCCGCCUCACGGCCGCCGGGGGGCUCCUGCCCCCGGGCCCGCGCCCGCCGAAGCCCCCCCUUGAACGCUGUCUGAAGUUUGCAGUCUGAGAAACUAGCUAAAUUAGUUAAAACUUUCAACAAUGGAUCUCUAGAUC